RNAcentral lists this ribosomal RNA (587 nucleotides) under uncultured bacterium. Its description in RNAcentral is "partial 16S ribosomal RNA". It matches the Rfam family "Bacterial small subunit ribosomal RNA", at positions 355 to 1375 of the family's 1533-position model. The record is from RNAcentral.
UGGGGAAUUUUGGACAAUGGGCGAAAGCCUGAUCCAGCAAUGCCGCGUGUGUGAAGAAGGCCUUCGGGUUGUAAAGCACUUUUGUCCGGAAAGAAAUCCUUGGCUCUAAUACAGUCGGGGGAUGACGGUACCGGAAGAAUAAGCACCGGCUAACUACGUGCCAGCAGCCGCGGUAAUACGUAGGGUGCAAGCGUUAAUCGGAAUUACUGGGCGUAAAGCGUGCGCAGGCGGUUUGCUAAGACCGAUGUGAAAUCCCCGGGCGUCAACCUGGGAACUGGCAUGGUGAGCUGGCAGGCUAGAGUAUGGCAGAGGGGGGUAGAAUUCCACGUGUAGCAGUGAAAUGCGUAGAGAUGUGGGGGAAUACCGAUGGCGAAGGCAGCCCCCUGGGCCAAUACUGACGCUCAUGCACGAAAGCGUGGGGAGCAAACAGGAUUAGAUACCCUGGUAGUCCACGCCCUAAACGAUGUCAACUAGUUGUUGGGGAUUCAUUUCCUUAGUAACGUAGCUAACGCGUGAAGUUGACCGCCUGGGGAGUACGGUCGCAAGAUUAAAACUCAAAUGAAUUGACGGGGUCAUAGCUGUUUCCU